RNAcentral lists this long non-coding RNA (1018 nucleotides) under Calidris pugnax (ruff). Its description in RNAcentral is "lncRNA (ENSCPUG00000016305.1)". The record is from RNAcentral. Lineage: Eukaryota; Metazoa; Chordata; Aves; Charadriiformes; Scolopacidae.
GAUUGUGGACACAUGUAGGAGGGAAAGAGCUACAAUAAUUGCAAAACAUGUAGGAUAGUAAGAAAAGCCUUACCAGUGGAUGGAAUGAACUUGGGCUGCUUUGCCCUUUGAGUAAAAAUAAGAAGGGAUAAUAUGUAAAAAAUAAAGCAUGGCUUCAUUAACUUUGGGAGGAUUUGCUUGAGGGGCAGAUUUUUAAAAAUUUAAUUGACAGGCCUGUUCAGAAAAGUCCAAACUGUAUACUUUUCUCAACAGCCCAUCUUCCCAGGCCGUACACCCUUGUUUUCUUGGCAGAGUGGGUGUUCAUACACCCAUAACUCGUCAUUAAAAUCCUUGAGCUGGAAUGUGUGGGAGCUGCCUGAGAGCAGAGCGGGGUGAAAGCGGGGUGAGUGAGGUUCAGCAGGAGUGGGUGAAGGAGCUGACACUUGUGAUGCCGUUGCAGCUGCAGAAAGCAACUCUUCUCCCCUUGAAACGGAGGAAACACAAACGUGAUACGAACCUGUGUGAGACCUGAGUGACCCACAUCCCCGGUUCCUGCUGGGGGCUGAUGCCAGCCUGGAGGAGGCAGCCCUUUGGCCAGGCCGGGGAGGCAGCUGUGAGCACCACGACCACACCCCCCACCCCCCCCCAGCAAAAGAGCCUGAGCCCCGCCAUGGCCAGCCCGGCCCUCCUGCCCCUGGCCUUGGGGCUGGUCACUGCCUUCAUCCUACGCCUUUGCUGAGCCGGUUGUCCUCGCCGCCUCCUCCUCGGACCCUCGCAGCACGGAGGACCACCAUGGGAGGCCCACCAUCGCUCCCCUGCCUGCUUCCCCCUCCCUCCGGCCUCUCAGCAAGGCCCCGCUUGAGGGCCUGCUGCGAGGCCCUGAGAAAUAAAGCGCUGGUGUAGAAGGCCGCCUAGUUUCCUCUCACGUUGGGUAAAGGGGGGGGCUGAGCCCCUGUUCUUCCCCACCUUGUGAGGCCUCUUCGGGGGCACCGGAGGCCCCGGGCCCGGGGCCCAUAGCAACAGCGCCCCCCUCCGCUCG